AUACGGAGGGUGCGAGCGUUAAUCGGAAUUACUGGGCGUAAAGCGUACGUAGGCGGUUUGUUAAGUUAGAUGUGAAAGCCCUGGGCUUAACCUGGGAACUGCAUUUAAAACUGGCAGACUAGAGUUUGAUAGAGGAGAGUGGAAUUUCAGGUGUAGCGGUGAAAUGCGUAGAGAUCUGAAGGAACAUCAGUGGCGAAGGCGACUCUCUGGAUUAAAACUGACGCUGAGGUACGAAAGCGUGGGUAGCAAACAGGAUUAGAAACCCUAGUAGUCC
This 274-nucleotide ribosomal RNA is filed under the name uncultured bacterium. RNAcentral's name for it is "partial 16S ribosomal RNA". It matches the Rfam family "Bacterial small subunit ribosomal RNA", at positions 523 to 796 of the family's 1533-position model. The record is from RNAcentral.